AUUGAACGCUGGCGGCAGGCCUAACACAUGCAAGUCGGACGGUAGCACAGGGGAGCUUGCUCCCCGGGUGACGAGUGGCGGACGGGUGAGUAAUGUCUGGGAAACUGCCUGAUGGAGGGGGAUAACUACUGGAAACGGUAGCUAAUACCGCAUAACGUCGCAAGACCAAAGAGGGGGAGCUCGGGGCCUCUUGCCAUCAGAUGUGCCCAGAUGGGAUUAGCUAGUAGGUGGGGUAACGGCUCACCUAGGCGACGAUCCCUAGCUGGUCUGAGAGGAUGACCAGCCACACUGGAACUGAGACACGGUCCAGACUCCUACGGGAGGCAGCAGUGGGGAAUAUUGCACAAUGGGCGCAAGCCUGAUGCAGCCAUGCCGCGUGUAUGAAGAAGGCCUUCGGGUUGUAAAGUACUUUCAGCGGGGAGGAAGGUGUUGUGGUUAAUAACCACAGCAAUUGACGUUACCCGCAGAAGAAGCACCGGCUAACUCCGUGCCAGCAGCCGCGGUAA
This 506-nucleotide ribosomal RNA is filed under the name uncultured bacterium. Its description in RNAcentral is "partial 16S ribosomal RNA". It matches the Rfam family "Bacterial small subunit ribosomal RNA", at positions 29 to 523 of the family's 1533-position model. The record is from RNAcentral.